Passer domesticus (house sparrow) is the source of this 722-nucleotide long non-coding RNA. RefSeq lists it as uncharacterized. The record is from RefSeq and is a predicted model, not a curated record. NCBI's taxonomy places the organism in Eukaryota, Metazoa, Chordata, Aves, Passeriformes, Passeridae. The transcript has 3 exons.
UGAUAACACUUAAAUAAACAAGUUUUUAAAUCCCUAAAAGCCCAAAAAAAUCUGUGAAACCCCUAAAAACCCCAAAAGAAAAAACCACAAAAAAACUUAAACAAGCAUUUUUAAUGUCUCUAAAAACCAAUAAUAAAUCAGAAAACCCAAAAAACACAAAAAACCCUAAAACCCCCAAAAUCACAAAAAAACCCAAAACCCCAAAAAACCCCAAAAAUCAAAAUAAAAAACCCCAAAAAAACCCAAAACCGGGGAGGUUCUACCAGAACAGAGCCCAAAUUCCACCUCCAGGCUGCUGCAAUCAGGGAUUCUCAGGAAUUCGUGCUCAGAACCAGCCUGGAAGUAACAAGACCUAAACAAAAGAAAUAAAACGAAUGACAAUUAACGCGAUUAAUUAAUGAAUUUCCCGCUUGCAGCCUCGUUCCCCGGGGAUCAGCUGGACCUGGACUCCUUCAACACCAAAGUUUUCUUUGAGCUGCUGCUCAGGCACUCCCAGGCCGUCACCACCGCCCUGGGCCACUCCAAAGAAGAGGUGAAAGUUCUGUAUCUCAGGGUAAUGGAUGAAAUCUCCCUGCUGAAAAAGCUUUGGCUGAAGGCUCUGAGCAUCCCAGGAAAGGGAGAGGAGGAGAGAAAAGAGGAAAAAGAGGAAAAAGAGCAGGUGCCUUUCCCUGGGAGCCCCAGGAUUUAUGGCAGCCGUGAAAUCCCAAGUGAUCCAGGGGAGU